Suricata suricatta (meerkat) is the source of this 241-nucleotide long non-coding RNA. RefSeq lists it as uncharacterized. The transcript has 2 exons. NCBI's taxonomy places the organism in Eukaryota, Metazoa, Chordata, Mammalia, Carnivora, Herpestidae. The record is from RefSeq and is a predicted model, not a curated record.
UGAAAUCAAGAUUUGUGUGCUUAACCAACUGAGCCAGCCAGACCACUGCUCUAGAACCAAAAGAAAGGGAAGUUGACAGGCAAAGAGCAAAAUGAGUGAGAGAUGUGGCUGGUUGAGAAGGCAGAGCAGAAUGUGCCAGGGUAGGGCAUGUUAAAAACUACAUCACGAGCAACAGGAGUAACAAUCAACUACUGCAUUUGAUGAAAUUUUUAGAAAAUUAAAAUGUAUCUACCAGAUUGUC